AUGCAGUCAGAGGUUUUGGCAAGCUUUUGGUUUGGGACAAACUUUAGAGCUGUAAGGGCAUCUUCAAGCGGACCCGUAAACCUCCCGCAACCCUUCAAACUGCGCUGCCCGCCGCAGAGGCACGGGAGGGUCGGAGAGCGCGCCGUCCACGAUCUGGUCGAAGACGAACUUGUUGGCCGCCUCGGUGAAGUGCACGCCGUCCCAGCUCACGCUCCUGAACGGGUCCUCGCACGGCUUCCCCGCCAGCACCGACGUGCCGUUCACCUCCAUCUUGUCGCCGCACCGGAUGUCCCUGUCGAAGUUGUACUGGCCGCCGCCGUACCCGCAGCACACGCGCAGGGGGUCCCCAAAACCGAGCUUUUUGGCUUGGCUUAUCAGCCUGUACUUGGCGGCGUAGACGUCGACGUAGGUGAAGGCGGCGCCGGGGAGCGUCGCCCUGAGCCUGUCCACGGUCUCGUUGAGCCGCGCGUUGAAGAACCGGGCGCCGGCGUUGAGCUCGACGGAGCAGCCGGCGCCGUCCUUCUCUGCGGCGGCGAGGUCCGGGCGGAACGUCAAGGCGUACGGCAGGCACCCGAGCGGCGCCGUGUUGUGCACCCAGAAGUACCUCCCCCCGAGGUUGUACACGGUCUGGAUCGCCGACGAGAUCCUCUCCAUCAGAUCGGGGACGUAGGCCUCGACUUGCUUGGUGGUCAUGUUGUCGAAGUAGCCCACGGUGAGGUCGUUCUGGCCGAUGUCCAAGGUGUAAAGCGCCUUGGAUAUCAAGUUCUCGGGGUUCGGCAGGAUUUCCCGAUAGAUUCCACCUGCAGACAGUUUAAGCUUCCAGUGAAAAAUUAUUUCCUCCGUUCAUUUUUGCAAGUCGUUUCAGAUAAUUCAAAAUAG
This 879-nucleotide ribosomal RNA is filed under the name Triticum aestivum (bread wheat). RNAcentral's name for it is "partial small subunit ribosomal RNA". The record is from RNAcentral. Lineage: Eukaryota; Viridiplantae; Streptophyta; Magnoliopsida; Poales; Poaceae.